Molecule: transfer RNA, 73 nt
Filed under: Propionibacteriaceae bacterium
Lineage: Bacteria; Bacillati; Actinomycetota; Actinomycetes; Propionibacteriales; Propionibacteriaceae
Description: tRNA-Thr
Rfam family: tRNA
About the family: Transfer RNA (tRNA) molecules are approximately 80 nucleotides in length.
Source: RNAcentral
GCCACCUUAGCUCAGCUGGCAGAGCAGCCGCCUUGUAAGCGGCAGGUCAUCGGUUCGAAUCCGAUAGGUGGCU